CCAGACUCCUACGGGAGGCAGCAGUGGGGGAUAUUGCACAAUGGGGGGAACCCUGAUGCAGCGACGCCGCGUGGGUGAAGGAGCGUUUCGGCGCGUAAAGCCCUAUCGGCAGGGAAGAAGGAGGACGGUACCUGACUAAGAAGCCCCGGCUAACUACGUGCCAGCAGCCGCGGUAAUACGUAGGGGGCAAGCGUUAUCCGGAUUUACUGGGUGUAAAGGGUGCGUAGGCGGCUUGGCAAGUCAGUAGUGAAAUCCAUGGGCUUAACCCAUGAACUGCUAUUGAAACUGUCGAGCUUGAGUGAAGUAGAGGUAGGCGGAAUUCCCGGUGUAGCGGUGAAAUGCGUAGAUAUUAGGAGGAACACCAGUGGCGAAGGCGGCUUACUGGACUGUAACUGACGUUGAGGCUCGAAAGCGUGGGGAGCAAACAGGAUUAGAUACCCGAGUA
This 445-nucleotide ribosomal RNA is filed under the name uncultured bacterium. RNAcentral's name for it is "partial 16S ribosomal RNA". It matches the Rfam family "Bacterial small subunit ribosomal RNA", at positions 331 to 792 of the family's 1533-position model. The record is from RNAcentral.